Long non-coding RNA from Neoarius graeffei (lesser salmon catfish), 1217 nucleotides. RefSeq lists it as uncharacterized. The transcript has 2 exons. The record is from RefSeq and is a predicted model, not a curated record. NCBI's taxonomy places the organism in Eukaryota, Metazoa, Chordata, Actinopteri, Siluriformes, Ariidae.
CAAUACGUUAUUAGACGGUAUUAAUUAUUAUGCCGCCUCGGACGUGUGGAAGCUGAGCACGACACAGCUGCCCUGUCGCAAACCGAGCCGACAACUGCACGCGCGCAAACGCUCGCUUGUACCGUAGUGCGUGCUUUUGAACGUGUGCGCGAGGAAGCUGGCGGACACCAGAAUAGGAGGGGCACGAGAUUUAAAAUUCGCCGGUGCGCUUUAGCCGAGAAACAUUAGCUUUUAGCUCGCGGACUCUCCGCAGCGACCCAUCAAACCCUCACCGCACCGACCGGCCCUUCCACUUCACCAGCAGAUGAUGACCAGCCUCCCUGUAAGAAGAAAAGGUGCAGCGCUGGACCUACUGUUUGGAGAGACCUUCGAAGUGAAAGCAGCAACAAGAUCUUCAAACGAGAAGGCGGCCAGUGAUGAAGUUAUGAGGUACAGACAGCGUAAUACAUUGCCCCUCAAGGACAACCCACUGCAAUGGUGGAAGGGACAAUCAGACCUCCCACUGCUGUCAUCUCUUGCGAAAAAAUAUCUCUGCAUACCAGCAACCAGCGUAGCAUCAGAAAGAGUUUUUAGCACAGCAGGGGAUGUCGUUUCAGUUCAACGCAGUGUUCUCAGGCAUGAUCAUGUCGAUCAGCUGAUUUUCCUCAAAAAGAAUCUUGACAAGUAUGAAUAAAUUCUGAGUUGUGAGAUGUAAACAGAAGUCAUAAGCACACACACACACACACAUACCAACUCAGGCAGACACACUAUACUUUUGCUGUAAAGCAUUGAUGAUUUCAGACAGAAAAAAAUGUUAUGAGAUGGAGAGAAAGUAAUAGUUUUUGUUUAGUGUUUGGAGCUUUUUCUUUUUUUUGGUAAGAAAAGCUAAUUACAGACAUAAGAAAGACAUGUUGCAUACUGAAGUCUAUGUCUAGCAAUGAUAUGUUGCACUUGUUUUACAGUUACUGAAACUCACGAGUGACUGAAGCAGUAAUCAUUCUGAUUAUUGCCUUUAAUAGGCAACUUGCUAUAGGCUACUUUUAUUUUUGAUAUCUAACCUUAUUUUGUGGUCUUUGAGGGAAAGUCAGCAUGUAUUGUAUUUUAAGUAUGAGCAGAGUUUGAAAACCUGUUAAGUGAGGCGCACCGGAUUUCCAGUUUUGUGUUUUGUAAUGUAUCCCAGCAUUACUAAUGUAAUGUAUGUAAAGUAUAAAUAAACAAAAGGAUACGGUUUUGAAAUU